AGCGAACGCUGGCUGCAGGCCUAACACAUGCAAGUCGAACGAACCUUUCGGGGUUAGUGGCGGACGGGUGAGUAACACGUGGGAACGUGCCUUUAGGUUCGGAAUAACUCAGGGAUACUUUUGCUAAUACCGAAUGUGCCCUUCGGGGGAAAGAUUUAUCGCCUUUAGAGCGGCCCGCGUCUGAUUAGCUAGUUGGUUGAGGUAAUGGCUCACCAGGUCCACGAUCAGUAGCUGGUCUGAGAGGAUGAUCAGCCACAUUGGGACUGAGACACGUACCAAACUCCUACGGGAGGCAGCAGUGGGGAAUCUGGCGCAAUGGAGGAAAGCCUAACGCAGCCAUGCCGUGUGAAUGAUGAAGGUCUUAGGAUGGUAAAAUUCUUUCACCGGGGACGAUAAUGACGGUACCCGAAGAAGAAGCCCCGGCUAACUUCGUG
This 434-nucleotide ribosomal RNA is filed under the name uncultured bacterium. RNAcentral describes it as "partial 16S ribosomal RNA". It matches the Rfam family "Bacterial small subunit ribosomal RNA", at positions 29 to 507 of the family's 1533-position model. The record is from RNAcentral.